CAAGUCUAAAACCCAGCCUUGGCUUUGGAAAUAAAGAGGUCUUUCAGCCUAUUGCGGACCAAGAAAAGUUUAUAAAUAUGGUCAAUCAAGCUUUGAGGCUUUGCAAAGAUUCAAAUCUGCACGAAUUUAUCAUCCAUUACCCAUUAGACGACUCUUCAAGCUGUCAUAUUGACAUUUGGGUUGCUUUUGCCUUUGCCAGGGGCGUUUCCAGGCUUGAACUGGACUUGGGUAUCCUUGCUUGUAGCAACGAGAAAAAUUAUUCUAUCCCAUCUCAACUCUUUGAUAAAAUAAAGGGGAUCAAAUGCCACUUGCAAUUGGAUUCUGUUUCUGCUGUACUUGCCUCUCCUCUUACUGCACAGAACAGCUUAAAGCCUCUUAAAGAACUAAUUCUAACACGUGUGGACAUUACAGAUGAACUUUUUGAAAUGAUUUUAUCUACCUGUUCAUCUCUUGAAUGCCUCCUUUUUGCAGUAGUGAGAAACAAAUCAACGCAAAGCAUACUGGUUCUCACUUAAAGUUGAAAUGCUUGGAGAUGUACCUGUGUAGUGCCUUGGAGAAUUUGGAAAUUUUUGCUCCAAACUUGGUUGUUUUCAGGUAUCAGUGUGCAAGGAUAAAUAUUUCUAUCAGGGAGGCUAAAGAUCUUGUUAAUGUAUGCAUUGUUCCUUUUAGUGGAGUAUAUGCAAAUCCAAAAAAAGUUAUUUGGGUAUGACCUAUCCAGAUAGAUUUUGUUUUAUUUUUGGUCAGUUUGCCGCAUAUCUUCCUCAGCUGGUGUUUUUGACAAUGGAUUUUCAUUGUUUCGAGCUCUACUCGUCUGUCUUAUCCUGCAGUCACUUCCGUAGUCAGGGCAUCUCCAUUACUGCAACGACUUGAGUUACAUACUGAUUCCCUAGCUUAUAGCAGACAAACGUACUUUAAGCAAACACUAAAGAAAGUUCCUAUGUCUCCACACCAAAACCUCAGGGAGUUUCUGCUAUCUGGUUUUGUGGGUCAUGAAUCUCAUAUGGAUCUUAUCAUGUCUAUUUUUGACUAUGCCACUGCACUGGAGAAGGUAGAAAUAAGAACAAGUACUAUGAUAUGGCUUAGAAAUAUCCCAUGUUUUCAUAGAAGAGAUGGUGUUGACACUAAAAAUUGUGCUUUGCAGCUUUCUCAAAUACUGCCUCCAAAUGCCCAGCUAAAAUUUCUUGAAGCUGUAGGGUUUUCCCAAGCAAGACAAAAGAGAGUUUAAUAUAUUAUAUUUAUUAACUAUAUUGUAUAAGCAUUAAGAACCUUUUCUGAUUAUUCUUGUCCUAAUAUAUUAUUUUGGACAAUUUCCUGCUCUCUGUUCAUACACAGCUGCUCCGUUUUUUUGGCUAGUAGAAGAAUGAACUGAA
This is an RNA transcript of Jatropha curcas, 1370 nucleotides long. RefSeq lists it as uncharacterized. Lineage: Eukaryota; Viridiplantae; Streptophyta; Magnoliopsida; Malpighiales; Euphorbiaceae. The record is from RefSeq and is a predicted model, not a curated record.